RNAcentral lists this transfer RNA (86 nucleotides) under Methanococcoides methylutens MM1. Its description in RNAcentral is "tRNA-Ser (CGA) (tRNA-Ser-CGA-1-1)". It matches the Rfam family "tRNA". From Rfam's summary of the family: Transfer RNA (tRNA) molecules are approximately 80 nucleotides in length. Lineage: Archaea; Methanobacteriati; Methanobacteriota; Methanomicrobia; Methanosarcinales; Methanosarcinaceae. The record is from RNAcentral.
GCCGGGGUGGCAGAGCGGACUAACGCGGCAGGCUCGAGACCUGUUUCUCCUAACGGAGUGCUUGGGUUCAAAUCCCAACCCCGGCG